RNAcentral lists this ribosomal RNA (253 nucleotides) under uncultured bacterium. RNAcentral describes it as "partial 16S ribosomal RNA". It matches the Rfam family "Bacterial small subunit ribosomal RNA", at positions 524 to 776 of the family's 1533-position model. The record is from RNAcentral.
GACGGGGGGUCCAAGCGUUGUUCGGAAUCAUUGGGCGUAAAGGGGGCGUAGGCGGCCUUGCAAGUCAGAAGUGAAAGCCCUGGGCUUAACCCAGGAAGUGCUUUUGAUACUGCCGGGCUUGAGUGUGGGAGAGGAUAGUGGAAUUCCUGGUGUAGUGGUGAAAUACGUAGAUAUCAGGAGGAACACCGGUGGCGAAGGCGGCUAUCUGGCCCAACACUGACGCUGAGGCCCGAAAGCGUGGGGAUCAAACAGG